AUUAGGAAUCUUGCGCAAUGGGGGCAACCCUGACGCAGCGACACAGCGUGGAGGAGGAAGGUCUUCGGAUUGUAAACUCCUUUUAUGAGGGAAGAAUAGAUGACUGUACCUCAUGAAUAAGUACCUGCUAACUACGUGCCAGAAGCAUCGGUGAUGCGUAGGGUACGAACGUUAUCCGGAGUUAUUGGGCGUAAAGAGAUGCGUAGGCGGCUUAGUAAGUCUUGAGUUAAAGUCCACGGCUCAACCGUGGAAAAGCUCUAGAUACUGCUAGGCUUGAGAUAUAGAGGGGUAAAUGGAAUUCCGAGUGGAGUGGUGAAAUACGUUGAUAUUCGGAAGAACACCAGUGGCGAAGGCGAUUUACUGGCUAUAUUCUGACGCUAAGGCUCGAAAGUAUGGGUAGCAAAACGGAUUAGAAACCCUAGUAGUCC
RNAcentral lists this ribosomal RNA (428 nucleotides) under uncultured bacterium. RNAcentral's name for it is "bacterial SSU rRNA". It matches the Rfam family "Bacterial small subunit ribosomal RNA", at positions 354 to 796 of the family's 1533-position model. The record is from RNAcentral.